AAGAGCCGUAUGCGGUAAUUCCGCACGUACGGAUCUGUCCGGGGGGAGCUGGGCGACCAGCGUUCCUACCGGGAC
Molecule: unclassified non-coding RNA, 75 nt
Filed under: Paraburkholderia diazotrophica
Lineage: Bacteria; Pseudomonadati; Pseudomonadota; Betaproteobacteria; Burkholderiales; Burkholderiaceae
Source: RNAcentral